GGGCCCGUAGCGCAGAAGGAUAGCGCAGCGGCCUCCUAAGCCGUAGGUCGUGGGUUCGAAUCCCACCGGGCCCG
RNAcentral lists this transfer RNA (74 nucleotides) under Thermoprotei archaeon. RNAcentral's name for it is "tRNA-Arg". It matches the Rfam family "tRNA". Rfam says of the family: Transfer RNA (tRNA) molecules are approximately 80 nucleotides in length. Their secondary structure includes four short double-helical elements and three loops (D, anti-codon, and T loops). Further hydrogen bonds mediate the characteristic L-shaped molecular structure. tRNAs have two regions of fundamental functional importance: the anti-codon, which is responsible for specific mRNA codon recognition, and the 3' end, to which the tRNAs corresponding amino acid is attached (by aminoacyl-tRNA synthetases). tRNAs cope with the degeneracy of the genetic code in two manners: having more than one tRNA (with a specific anti-codon) for a particular amino acid; and 'wobble' base-pairing, i.e. permitting non-standard base-pairing at the 3rd anti-codon position. The record is from RNAcentral. Lineage: Archaea; Thermoproteati; Thermoproteota; Thermoprotei.